This 254-nucleotide ribosomal RNA is filed under the name uncultured bacterium. RNAcentral describes it as "partial 16S ribosomal RNA". It matches the Rfam family "Bacterial small subunit ribosomal RNA", at positions 524 to 776 of the family's 1533-position model. The record is from RNAcentral.
GACGUAGGGCGCGAGCGUUGUCCGGAUUUAUUGGGCGUAAAGAGCUCGUAGGCGGCUUGUCGCGUCGACUGUGAAAACCCGCGGCUCAACCGUGUGGUCUGCAGUCGAUACGGGCAGGCUAGAGUUCGGUAGGGGAGACUGGAAUUCCUGGUGUAGCGGUGAAAUGCGCAGAUAUCAGGAGGAACACCGGUGGCGAAGGCGGGACUCUGGGCCGAUACUGACGCUGAGGAGCGAAAGCGUGGGGAGCGAACAGG